Molecule: ribosomal RNA, 106 nt
Filed under: Shigella sp. FC1967
Lineage: Bacteria; Pseudomonadati; Pseudomonadota; Gammaproteobacteria; Enterobacterales; Enterobacteriaceae
Description: partial 23S ribosomal RNA
Rfam family: Bacterial large subunit ribosomal RNA (bases 1-90)
Source: RNAcentral
CGUUUAAGACUAAGACGUUGAUAGGCUGGGUGUGUAAGCGUAGCGAUACGUUGAGCUAACCAGUACUAAUGAACCGUGAGGCUUAACCUGACACACCGAAGGUGUU